GUUACCUACGGGGCGCAGCAGUAGGGAAUUUUCGUCAAUGGGCGCAAGCCUGAACGAGCGAUGCCGCGUGAGUGAAGAAGGCUUUCGGGUCGUAAAACCCUGUUGCGGGGGAAAAAAGGCAGCAUCAGGAAAUGGGUGCUGACUGAUGGUGCCCCGCCAGAAAGUCACGGCUAACUACGUGCCAGCAGCCGCGGUAAUACGUAGGUGGCGAGCGUUAUCCGGAAUGAUUGGGCGUAAAGGGUGCGCAGGCGGUCCUGCAAGCUUGGAGUGAAACGCAUGGGCUCAACUCAUGCUUGGCUUUGGAA
Molecule: ribosomal RNA, 305 nt
Filed under: uncultured bacterium
Lineage: Bacteria
Description: bacterial SSU rRNA
Rfam family: Bacterial small subunit ribosomal RNA
Source: RNAcentral